GACGAACGCUGGCGGCGUGCUUAACACAUGCAAGUCGAACGGUAAGGCCCCUUCGGGGGUACACGAGUGGCGAACGGGUGAGUAACACGUGAGCAACCUGCCCUUGACUCUGGAAUAACAGUUUGAAACAGCUGCUAAUACUGGAUAUUCAUCGUCUCCUUCCUGGGGGGUGGUGGAAAGCUCCGGCGGUCAGGGAUGGGCUCGCGGCCUAUCAGCUUGUUGGUGAGGUAAUGGCUCACCAAGGCUUCGACGGGUAGCCGGCCUGAGAGGGCGACCGGCCACACUGGGACUGAGAUACGGCCCAGACUCCUACGGGAGGCAGCAGUGGGGAAUAUUGCACAAUGGGCGCAAGCCUGAUGCAGCAACGCCGCGUGCGGGAUGACGGCCUUCGGGUUGUAAACCGCUUUCAGUAGGGACGAAGGGUGACUGACGGUACCUACAGAAGAAGGACCGGCUAACUACGUG
RNAcentral lists this ribosomal RNA (465 nucleotides) under uncultured bacterium. RNAcentral describes it as "partial 16S ribosomal RNA". It matches the Rfam family "Bacterial small subunit ribosomal RNA", at positions 28 to 507 of the family's 1533-position model. The record is from RNAcentral.